AGUCUUGAAAAUUUCUUUAUAAUCGACAUAAUGAAGUUGUCUUGUUUUCAGGACUAUGGUGAUAAACGCGCAUGGAAUAAACGGAUCGGACCCGGGGGCGGUACCCGGCGGCUCCACCACAAAUUUAUGGGGCCGAAAUAGGAUCGACGAACGUCAAAAGAUGUUAGCUUUUACUCGGCGGGACGGCCACCGAUAUCGGCGCAAAACGUAUAGUUGCAAAUGACAAUUAUGCUCCGGUAGCCGUUGCUGCGUAAGCAGUAACUAAACCGAAACUUAAGUCCAGUAUGAUAGCUCAUACUGGCGGGGUUCGCAGGCACCUGGCAACAGAAGCCUGCACU
This 338-nucleotide transfer-messenger RNA is filed under the name Paracoccaceae bacterium. RNAcentral describes it as "Rhodobacteraceae bacterium transfer-messenger RNA". It matches the Rfam family "Alphaproteobacteria transfer-messenger RNA". From Rfam's summary of the family: Bacterial tmRNA, also known as 10Sa RNA or SsrA, is named for its dual tRNA and mRNA-like properties. Its role is to liberate the mRNA from a stalled ribosome. The record is from RNAcentral. Lineage: Bacteria; Pseudomonadati; Pseudomonadota; Alphaproteobacteria; Rhodobacterales; Paracoccaceae.